UUAUAUGUUAUAAUAAAGACGUUCAUGACUCUAGGUAUUGUAAUAGGUCCGAAGACCACAGUGCACAGGUGUAUGAAGGGAAAAGUGCUUGCGCACAUCUCUAAUGAUCCUUCCGCAGGUUCACCUACGGAAA
RNAcentral lists this unclassified non-coding RNA (133 nucleotides) under uncultured fungus. Its description in RNAcentral is "sequence contains ITS1". Lineage: Eukaryota; Fungi. The record is from RNAcentral.